RNAcentral lists this ribosomal RNA (600 nucleotides) under Halomonas ventosae. Its description in RNAcentral is "bacterial SSU rRNA". It matches the Rfam family "Bacterial small subunit ribosomal RNA", at positions 40 to 635 of the family's 1533-position model. Lineage: Bacteria; Pseudomonadati; Pseudomonadota; Gammaproteobacteria; Oceanospirillales; Halomonadaceae. The record is from RNAcentral.
CAAUGCAGCGUACACAUGCAGUCGAGCGGAACGAUGGAGCUUGCUCCAGGCGUCGAGCGGCGGACGGGUGAGUAAUGCAUAGGAAUCUGCCCGGUAGUGGGGGAUAACCUGGGGAAACCCAGGCUAAUACCGCAUACGUCCUACGGGAGAAAGCAGGGGAUCUUCGGACCUUGCGCUAUCGGAUGAGCCUAUGUCGGAUUAGCUUGUUGGUGAGGUAAUGGCUCACCAAGGCGACGAUCCGUAGCUGGUCUGAGAGGAUGAUCAGCCACAUCGGGACUGAGACACGGCCCGAACUCCUACGGGAGGCAGCAGUGGGGAAUAUUGGACAAUGGGCGAAAGCCUGAUCCAGCCAUGCCGCGUGUGUGAAGAAGGCUUUCGGGUUGUAAAGCACUUUCAGUGAGGAAGAAGGCCUUGGGGCUAAUACCCCCGAGGAAGGACAUCACUCACAGAAGAAGCACCGGCUAACUCCGUGCCAGCAGCCGCGGUAAUACGGAGGGUGCGAGCGUUAAUCGGAAUUACUGGGCGUAAAGCGCGCGUAGGCGGCGUGAUAAGCCGGUUGUGAAAGCCCCGGGCUCAACCUGGGAACGGCAUCCGGAACUG